Molecule: transfer RNA, 65 nt
Filed under: Dipodomys ordii (Ord's kangaroo rat)
Lineage: Eukaryota; Metazoa; Chordata; Mammalia; Rodentia; Heteromyidae
Rfam family: tRNA
About the family: Transfer RNA (tRNA) molecules are approximately 80 nucleotides in length. Their secondary structure includes four short double-helical elements and three loops (D, anti-codon, and T loops). Further hydrogen bonds mediate the characteristic L-shaped molecular structure. tRNAs have two regions of fundamental functional importance: the anti-codon, which is responsible for specific mRNA codon recognition, and the 3' end, to which the tRNAs corresponding amino acid is attached (by aminoacyl-tRNA synthetases). tRNAs cope with the degeneracy of the genetic code in two manners: having more than one tRNA (with a specific anti-codon) for a particular amino acid; and 'wobble' base-pairing, i.e. permitting non-standard base-pairing at the 3rd anti-codon position.
Source: Rfam by way of RNAcentral
GGUGGCUCAAUGGUAGGGUGUUUGCCUUUUGUGCAUGAGGCCCUGAGUUCGAUUCCUCAGCACCA